This 482-nucleotide ribosomal RNA is filed under the name uncultured bacterium. RNAcentral describes it as "partial 16S ribosomal RNA". It matches the Rfam family "Bacterial small subunit ribosomal RNA", at positions 30 to 507 of the family's 1533-position model. The record is from RNAcentral.
AUUGAACGCUGGCGGCAUGCCUUACACAUGCAAGUCGAACGGUAACGGGCCUUCGGGUGCCGACGAGUGGCGAACGGGUGAGUAAUACAUCGGAACGUGCCCGAUCGUGGGGGAUAACGAGGCGAAAGCUUUGCUAAUACCGCAUACGAUCUACGUAUGAAAGCAGGGGACCGCAAGGCCUUGCUCGGACGGAGCGGCCGAUGGCAGAUUAGGUAGUUGGUGGGAUAAAAGCUUACCAAGCCGACGAUCUGUAGCUGGUCUGAGAGGAUGAUCAGCCACACUGGGACUGAGACACGGCCCAGACUCCUACGGGAGGCAGCAGUGGGGAAUUUUGGACAAUGGGCGCAAGCCUGAUCCAGCCAUGCCGCGUGCAGGAUGAAGGCCUUCGGGUUGUAAACUGCUUUUGUACGGAACGAAAAGCCUUCUUUUAAUACAGGAGGGUCAUGACGGUACCGUAAGAAUAAGCACCGGCUAACUACGUG